RNAcentral lists this ribosomal RNA (254 nucleotides) under uncultured bacterium. RNAcentral describes it as "partial 16S ribosomal RNA". It matches the Rfam family "Bacterial small subunit ribosomal RNA", at positions 524 to 776 of the family's 1533-position model. The record is from RNAcentral.
UACGGGGGGGGCAAGCGUUGUUCGGAAUUACUGGGCGUAAAGGGUGCGUAGGCGGCUUUCUAAGUCGGAUGUGAAAACUCUGGGCUCAACCCAGAGCCUGCAUCCGAAACUGGAGAGCUAGGGUUCUGGAGGGGAAAGCGGAAUUCCUGGUGUAGCGGUGAAAUGCGUAGAUAUCCGGAGGAACACCGGUGGCGAAGGCGGCUUCCUGGACCGAUUACUGACGCUGAGGCGCGAAAGCUAGGGGAGCAAACGGG